CCUACGGGAGGCAGCAGUGGGGGAUAUUGCACAAUGGGGGAAACCCUGAUGCAGCGACGCCGCGUGGGUGAAGAAGUAUUUCGGUAUGUAAAGCCCUAUCAGCAGGGAAGAAAGAUGACGGUACCUGACUACGAAGCCCCGGCUAACUACGUGCCAGCAGCCUCGGUCAUACGGAGGGGGCGAGCGUUAUCCGGAUUCACGGGGUGUAAAGGGAGCGUAGACGGCCGUGCAAGCCAGGAGUGAAAGCCCGGGGCGCAACCCCGAGACUGCUGUUGGAACUGUGCGGCUGGAGUGCGGGAGGGGCAGGCGGAAUUCGUGGUGUAGCGGUGAAAUGCGUAGAUAUCAGGAGGAACACCGACGGCGAAGGCGGCCUGCUGGACCGCGACUGACGUUGAGGCUCGAAAGCGUGGGGAGCGAACAGGAUUAGAUACCCCAGUAGUC
Molecule: ribosomal RNA, 441 nt
Filed under: uncultured bacterium
Lineage: Bacteria
Description: partial 16S ribosomal RNA
Rfam family: Bacterial small subunit ribosomal RNA
Source: RNAcentral